AGAGAGUUCAAGAGUGCGUGAAACCGUUCGGAGGUAAACGGGUGGGAGCUCGAAAGUCGAACGGAUGGGGAGGGAUUCAACUUGGCGUGAUGGCGUCUCCCUGGCGGGUGGCUCGAGGUCCGCGGCGAUUCUGUCGUCGUUGGAUUCCUCGGUCGCAUCGCUGGGACGAUCUGCCUGUCUCCGCCUUGUGCAUUUCCCUGUACCCCCUCUCCUAGUAGGACGCCGUGACCGGCUGUUGAGGGGAGCCCAGGAGCUGGAGGAGGUAGCUGCGCGGACGAGUGUGGGAUUCGCUCCCUGCGUCCGGUCUGUCUGCCCUCCCCCGACUGCGGGUGCUCUCCCCGGCCGAGGAAUGCUGAAGGCGAGAUGCGGACCCUCGUGGUUCGCCUCGUCCAAGCGCGUGCCCACCAAAAUUUCUGUGGGUGCGGGUCGAAAGAACCCAACGGGUGGCGGCGUUCGGUCGCUGGCCAGCUUCGCGCUGCGCCAGCAGCCGUAUCUGCUUAGCCGCUGUCGGUCAGGGUGCUGACUCCCGCAUCUAUGGGGCGCUGGGGGUCAACGGCGAGUAGGUUGGUUUCCCACCCGACCCGUCUUGAAACACGGACCAAGAAGUCUAACGUGUGGGCAAGUCUUCGGGGACUUUGUGAACCCUAUGAAGGCGCAAUAAAAGUGAAGGUCCCGUGCUGUGGCAUCCCCUCCUCGGAGGUGGAGGCUCGGCCGGGGCUGUAGUGGGAUCCCCCGUCUAACGGCGGGGGCGCACCACUGGCCCGUCCUAUGACCGCUUCGCCGGUCGGGCGGAGCAAGAGCCCACGCGUUGGGACCCGAAAGAUGGUGAACUAUGCCUGGGCAGGACGAGGCCAGAGGAAACUCUGGUGGAAGUCCGCAGCGGU
This 884-nucleotide ribosomal RNA is filed under the name Sellanucheza variata. RNAcentral describes it as "eukaryotic LSU rRNA". It matches the Rfam family "Eukaryotic large subunit ribosomal RNA", at positions 382 to 884 of the family's 3401-position model. Lineage: Eukaryota; Metazoa; Arthropoda; Diplopoda; Polydesmida; Paradoxosomatidae. The record is from RNAcentral.